RNAcentral lists this ribosomal RNA (450 nucleotides) under uncultured bacterium. RNAcentral's name for it is "partial 16S ribosomal RNA". It matches the Rfam family "Bacterial small subunit ribosomal RNA", at positions 354 to 796 of the family's 1533-position model. The record is from RNAcentral.
GUGGGGAAUAUUGGACAAUGGGCGCAAGCCUGAUCCAGCCAUACCGCGUGGGUGAAGAAGGCCUUCGGGUUGUAAAGCCCUUUUGUUGGGAAAGAAAUCCUGUCGGUUAAUACCUGGCGGGGAUGACGGUACCCAAAGAAUAAGCACCGGCUAACUUCGUGCCAGCAGCCGCGGUAAUACGAAGGGUGCAAGCGUUACUCGGAAUUACUGGGCGUAAAGCGUGCGUAGGUGGUGGUUUAAGUCCGUUGUGAAAGCCCGGGGCUCAACCUGGGAAUUGCAGUGGAUACUGGAUCACUAGAGUGUGGGAGAGUGAUGCGUACUUUCUGGUGUAGCAGUGAAAUGCGUAGAGAUCAGAAGGAACAUCCGUGGCGAAGGCGACAUCCUGGGCCAACACUGACACUGGGGCACGAAAGCGUGGGGAGCAAACAGGAUUAGAUACCCUAGUAGUCC